This 253-nucleotide ribosomal RNA is filed under the name uncultured bacterium. RNAcentral describes it as "partial 16S ribosomal RNA". It matches the Rfam family "Bacterial small subunit ribosomal RNA", at positions 524 to 776 of the family's 1533-position model. The record is from RNAcentral.
UACGAAGGGGGCUAGCGUUGCUCGGAAUCACUGGGCGUAAAGCGCACGUAGGCGGCUUCUUAAGUCAGGGGUGAAAUCCUGGAGCUCAACUCCAGAACUGCCUUUGAUACUGAGAAGCUUGAGUCCGGGAGAGGUGAGUGGAACUGCGAGUGUAGAGGUGAAAUUCGUAGAUAUUCGCAAGAACACCAGUGGCGAAGGCGGCUCACUGGCACGGUACUGACGCUGAGGUGCGAAAGCAUGGGGAGCGAACAGG